GUUGGGAAAUGAUGCUCAGACACAAACAGAUUGUCAAAAGCACAAACAAUGCUGACUGUAUCUAUAUUUGCACGUUAGUCUGACCCAAA
This 89-nucleotide small nucleolar RNA is filed under the name Cephalotus follicularis. RNAcentral describes it as "Small nucleolar RNA Z122". It matches the Rfam family "Small nucleolar RNA Z122". From Rfam's summary of the family: Z122 is a member of the C/D class of snoRNA which contain the C (UGAUGA) and D (CUGA) box motifs. Most of the members of the box C/D family function in directing site-specific 2'-O-methylation of substrate RNAs. The record is from Rfam by way of RNAcentral. Lineage: Eukaryota; Viridiplantae; Streptophyta; Magnoliopsida; Oxalidales; Cephalotaceae.